RNAcentral lists this ribosomal RNA (625 nucleotides) under Thanatephorus sp. AG-9. Its description in RNAcentral is "eukaryotic LSU rRNA". It matches the Rfam family "Eukaryotic large subunit ribosomal RNA", at positions 38 to 664 of the family's 3401-position model. Lineage: Eukaryota; Fungi; Basidiomycota; Agaricomycetes; Cantharellales; Ceratobasidiaceae. The record is from RNAcentral.
GCAUAUCAAUAAGCGGAGGAAAAGAAACUAACAAGGAUUCCCCUAGUAACGGCGAGUGAAGCGGGAAGAGCUCAAAUUUAAAAUCUGGCAGUGUAUUCUGUCCGAGUUGUAGUCUAGAGAAGCAUCAUCCGUGCUGGACCAUGUACAAGUCUCUUGGAACAGAGCGUCAUAGAGGGUGAGAAUCCCGUCCUUGACAUGGACUCCCAGUACUUUGUGUUGUGCUCUCAACGAGUCGAGUUGUUUGGGAAUGCAGCUCAAAAUGGGUGGUAAAUUCCAUCUAAAGCUAAANUAUUGGCGAGAGNACCGAUAGCNGAACAAGUACCGUGAGGGAAAGAUGAAAAGCACUUUGGAGAGAGAGUUAAACAGUACGUGAAAUUGUUGAAAUGGAAACGCUUGAAGUCAGUCGCGUUCUCUGGGACUCAGCCUUGCUUUUGCUUGGUGUAUUUCCUAGUCUACGGGCCAGCAUGAGUUUUGACCAAUGGAAAAAGGCUUGGGGAAUGUGGCACCCUCGGGUGUGUUAUAGCCCCUUGUCACAUACGUUGGUUGGGAUUGAGGUCUUAGUGCACGCUUCGGUUGUGCUUUGAUGCUGGCGUAAUGGCUUUAAACGACCCGUCUUGAAACACGG